GGCAGAAUGGUGUAGUGGUUUGAGUGUUGGACUGGAACUCUGGGAAACCAGGGUUCGAAUCCCUGCUUGGCUG
Molecule: non-coding RNA, 73 nt
Organism: Phrynosoma platyrhinos (Desert horned lizard)
Lineage: Eukaryota; Metazoa; Chordata; Lepidosauria; Squamata; Phrynosomatidae
Source: the annotation of a GenBank genome assembly